Molecule: non-coding RNA, 69 nt
Organism: Podarcis lilfordi (Lilford's wall lizard)
Lineage: Eukaryota; Metazoa; Chordata; Lepidosauria; Squamata; Lacertidae
Source: the annotation of a GenBank genome assembly
GCUGUAGCUCAGUCGCAGAACAUCUGCUUUGCAUGCAGAAGGUGCCAGGUUCCAUCGCUGCCAUCUCCA